GGGUCGAUGCCCGAGCGGUUAAUGGGGACGGACUGUAAAUUCGUUGGCGAAAUGUCUACGCUGGUUCAAAUCCAGCUCGGCCCA
This 84-nucleotide transfer RNA is filed under the name Narcissus tazetta subsp. chinensis. RNAcentral describes it as "tRNA-Tyr". It matches the Rfam family "tRNA". Rfam says of the family: Transfer RNA (tRNA) molecules are approximately 80 nucleotides in length. Their secondary structure includes four short double-helical elements and three loops (D, anti-codon, and T loops). Further hydrogen bonds mediate the characteristic L-shaped molecular structure. tRNAs have two regions of fundamental functional importance: the anti-codon, which is responsible for specific mRNA codon recognition, and the 3' end, to which the tRNAs corresponding amino acid is attached (by aminoacyl-tRNA synthetases). tRNAs cope with the degeneracy of the genetic code in two manners: having more than one tRNA (with a specific anti-codon) for a particular amino acid; and 'wobble' base-pairing, i.e. permitting non-standard base-pairing at the 3rd anti-codon position. RNAcentral also lists the same sequence under 3 other names. The record is from RNAcentral. Lineage: Eukaryota; Viridiplantae; Streptophyta; Magnoliopsida; Asparagales; Amaryllidaceae.